Molecule: long non-coding RNA, 29958 nt
Filed under: Populus trichocarpa (black cottonwood)
Lineage: Eukaryota; Viridiplantae; Streptophyta; Magnoliopsida; Malpighiales; Salicaceae
Description: long non-coding RNA (PTRI_LNC003725)
Source: RNAcentral
AAGGUUGAACUAUUGAAGACCAAGUUUGGAUUUGAUGAUGCUUUCAAUUAUAAAGAGGAGCAUGACUUGGAUGCAGCCUUGAAAAGGUUAGUGUAUGAAGUCGGCAUAAGAGACAAUCUGAAAUAGCACUCUCAAGCCUUACAGAACCUCUAGACGUUCUGCAGCUUAAUUAAUCUGUGAUUAUGUGCAUUACUUUUUUUGUUUUUGAAUGUUAAUCUUGUGGGGAUUGGCUCAAGUGGAAAAAGGAAUGAUUGUUUCCUUUGCCAGGUACUUCCCUGAAGGCAUCGACAUUUACUUUGAGAAUGUUGGAGGAAAAAUGCUUGAUGCUGUCCUUCUAAACAUGAGAUACCAUGGCCGUAUUGCUUUGUGUGGAAUGAUCUCUCAAUACAAUCUCGAGCAGCCUGAAAGUGUGGAGAACUUAAUCGCUGUACUCUUUAAGCAUAUCCGGAUGGAAGGGUUUUCGGUUGCCGAGUACUAUGACCAAUACUCCCAAGUUCUUGGAUUUUGUUCUGCCUUAUAUUAAAGAAGGGAAGAUUGUUUAUGUGGAAGACAUAACUGAAGGACUCGAGAGUGGCCCUGCUGCAUUGAUAGGCCUAUUCAGCGGCCGAAAUGUAGGCAAGCAAGUAGUGAAGGUUGCUCAGGAGUGAUCAGUCUCCCUUUACAUGUCUUCUUGCCAAUGCCAUUGCUUGUCUUACAUGCUUCAUUAACAUAAGGCAGAACAAAAUCCAAGAACAGAAAAUAAAAUAAAAUUGAGGUUUCAAUUUAAAAAGCUUAUAACUGAAGGGCUGCGUGUAUGAUUUAGCCCCAUUUUCAGGAAAAUGUAUACUUUUAUUUCUAAUCAAAUUUAUAUCAUUCUCAAUUUCCAUAUUUGCUUCCAUUUAUUUUUUUUUUCUAAAAAAAACAAUUUAUCUUUCAAUUACUGAGAUUAAUUGUGUUACACAUGACAUGACAUGCCAUGAUUUUUCUAACAAUACACGUAACACUUGUUUAAUUUCCCAUAUUGUUUCUCAACAAAACCAAAAUCACAUUAAUUUCAGGAAAACUUUGAAAUUUAUAUGGAAGGGUAGAUUUGUUCUUUUGUUUAAAUUUUAAAAUUGUAUUGAUUCGGGAAGUAAAUUGUAGAUUUUAAAUUAUGAAUGGAGUCAAGAUCAUAGAAGUGUCAAGGUAUUUUUUUCUUAAAAAAAAAAUUAAUUUCAAACAACGACCCGCAUGACAAAAAAGAAGAGAAAAAGAAAAAUAAAUCGACAUCAUCCGACUAAUUUGUUUUCCCAAGCUUCGUGGAAAUCGUAGUUUAGAGCCAUCCAUUUCAGGGCAGAAGAUGUAGCUCAAGAAUAAAUGCUCACUUUGCUAUACUGUCCUGUUUUCUACUCUGAUGAACUCUCAAAUCCAAAUGGCUAAUUUGUUUUUUAUCUACCCUCCUUUUAUGUUCUCCUUGUUAGCUACUGUCACUGUAACUACUGUUACCUCUACCAGAAACUUGAUAAAUAAAAACAUAAAUAUUGAGUGAAUAUUUUUGUUAGUAAAUUAUCGAUGGAUUUUAUCGAUAAAAAUAUUCUCUCGGUAUUUACCGAGAGAAUUACAGUGGGGAAAAAAUAAUUAAAACAAAGCAAAAAAAAUAAUGAUAUGUCAUUUUUACCAACGGAAUUUAUUCCGUCGGUAAAUCCAUCGGUAAUUUCGUCAGAAAAAUUAUUGGUAAACUGUCAAUACUAUUCAUUGUGUUAACUACAAAGAGAAUCACCGACAGAACAUUCAAUCGGUAUUUUACAGAGAGCUCUGGAAUUAUUCACUCCAAUUACACUGUUAAUUACUUUUCUUUACAAACAAUAUCACCGAUGGAUUGAAAAGUCGUCGGUGAUAUUUGACGGUUUCUGAAUUUUUUUAAUUUAAUUCAAAAUUUAAAUUAAAUAUUAUAGAUGGAAUCACCAACGGAAUGAUUAAAAAUAUUAAUAUUUAAUUAUCCGUCGAUAAACGCCCCAAUAAAAAGUCUAGAAUCUCUAAUUUCACAACAGACACGUCUCCUUUCUUCUUCUUCUUCUUCUUCUUCUUCUUCUUCUUCUCUUCUCUCCUCAACUCCUUCUCUUCUUCUCUAUGCUCAGGUAUGUCUUCUUCUCCUUUCUUAUUUUUUCUUCUUAGUUUUUUUUAAUUAGUAUACUUUACGAAUUUGUUUUUUUUUUCUUUUCUUAGCUUCACUUGUAACUACAUUAUCUUCUUUUUUUCGUGUUUUAUUCAAUAUAUUUGUUUUUUUAUUUUAUUUUUAAUUGUUUUUGUUCUUAAUAAUUGUAUGAAUGUUGUUGUAGGAUUUUUUUUCAUAUGAGAUCAAUUUUUAGUUGAUUUAUUUAUAGGAUUUUUAAAUUUUUUGCAUAUGAAGUUUUUUAGUUUAAUUUAUUUUUUCAUGUUAUAUAUUUGUUGUAAAUUUUUUUGAGUUGAUUUUCUUCUUUUUCCAAGCAUUUUGAGUAUUCUAGAGUGUUGAUUAAUAUUAAUUUAAUUAUUUUAUAGUUUUUUUAAAAUAUUUUUAAAUAAUUACCGAUGGAAUUACAUACGGUUUGUUUCCGAGGAAAUUACUGACGGAAUGAAAUUUUUUUUUGCUUACUUUUUCCGUCAGUAAAUCUAUCGAUAAUAAUAUUUUUUUAUUAUCAACAAAUUUAUCGACGGACAAAAAAUUACUAACAAAAAAUUUACUGACGGAGACUUUCCAUCAGUGAUUUCAGUGGUAAUUUUUUUAAAGUUAAAUCAUAUGGAAGCAUGCACCCAAUCUCGCUAGUAGAGACCAGCUGUGUGUUCCAUGAACUUGGAUUACAGGAGACUUGCUUUUUGACUUGAAGAAAUAGACUGUCCAAUCUUUAUUUAUUUCCAAACUUGUCGUUUCUUGGACACUUAGACUCGGAAAAGUGCUUUCAAUUGUUUUUAAAUAUUAUUAUUCUAUUCUUUAAAACACGUUGUAUAAUUUUUUUUGUUGGUAGAAAAAUUAUAUGAGUUGCUGUGAAAUAACUAAUCAAUUUUUUAUGGGCUCUGAUUUUGAAGUUUUGAGAUUCAAAAUUAUUUACAAAAUUAUGUAAUUCGUACCCAUCACUAUUUUAAAACUCUUAAAUUAAAUACAGGAAACGUUUUUAUAAGUAGAGGGACUAAAAUGAAUUUCUGCCACCUUUAACCUCUAAGCUCCAGAUCCAUGAAGAGUACCCAAAACAGGUUUUGAAGUUGUGGGUUUUGGUUUCAAAGUCCCCAAAUUCUUUCCAAAACACAUCCUCACCCUCACUGUCUUCUUAUGCCAUGCGCACAGAGCGCUACAUGUUAUUUACUUUAAAGUGCAAAAUUAAUCUAAAUAUAAAAAAAUAUAGAAAUUAAACUAAAAAUAUUAUUUUACAUUUAAUAAAAAAAAUUAUUUAACUAUAUUAUAAUUAAAGUUACUUGUUUUUGGGAUUCUUUCAACAUGAGCUCUCAAUUUUAUAUCUCUCUUUUUUUUACAGUGUUUGGUAACACCAUUAGAAUUAUAUUUUUUAAAAUUUAAUUUUUUUAUUUUAAAUUAAUUAUUUUUUAGAUAAUUUUUAUGUAAUAAUAUGAAAAAUAUUUUUUUAAAAAAUAAAAAAUAUUAUUUUAAUAUAUUUCAAACAAAAAAAAACAAUUUCAACCACCAAUACUAAUAUAUGCUUCCAAACAUCCAAUAAUUAAAUAAAUUAGAUCUGACGCGUUUUCGAGUCCUUAAUUCCAACUAUUCCUUCUUGAAACACUACAAGUCAACUUAGACUGGAAUUGUCCACUGGGACAAGGGUGACAAAGACUUUGCAACUUUGGACGCGGUACGUAGUUAAUAGUCAAAUAUAAGUUUGAACGAUCUCUUGUUAUUUGCUGCUGUUUUGCUAUCCACAAAUGGCUCUUGAUGCAAAACUUGCUCUUCUUUUGAUUCAUAUCCUUAGUGUUGCCGGCAAUGGAUACAGUUCUUUACAAGAGAACUACUACGGGAGUGAAGAUGAACACAGGAAAAAGUUGGAUUCUUCUUUCAAAAGUGGGUUUGCAACAGGUUAUGCAUUUUCUUCAGUUUCCAUUUUAGCUAUUUUCAUGUCCUGUUGUGUGCCUUGGGCUCGUCUUAACAAGAGGAAGAGGAACAAGAUAAUGAUGAAGACACCAAUGAUGACAUCUUUGAUGGAAAGGCGAGAGAAGAAGAUAAAAGAAGCCAACGAGCAGGUAUCCCCAUAAGACUUUCAUUCCAUCAUUUUUUUUUUAUCUUUUUGAUGAAGAGGACGAUAGAGUUGCUUUUAUUAAGGAUAGAUCCAAAUUCUUCAGUUUCCAAGACCAUGAAGAAGAUGGAUCAUUGCAAACUGAUGAAUUAAAUAGACCACAAACCAAAACAUUAAUUCAUUACAGACACAAGCAGAAAAGGAGAGACCUCGAGUUCAUGUCCUUAAAGUAGCACCUAAGCCUCAAAUUAAAACCAAGCUAUGAGAUGUUCAACUCCUUGCUUUGACAAUUGACCAGCAACGAGAGACGUUUCUCUAGCUGAAUGAAUAAUUAAUGAAGAUGACUGCACUAAAUAAGAAGUCAGCAUGCUAAUAUAUAGAACUCAUAGUAGAGCAACACUAGCUAGAUCUCCACAGCAUGAGAAGUUUAUUACAAGAAUGCAGUAAAUAAAGCAACUGGCAGUGAUCCAACUCUGGAUCUCCUGCGGGAAGCAACGAAAGAGAUGCUUCCUCAUGUGAAGAAUCCGUUCCUUUAAUAAUGCAUCAAUUAAUUAGUCUCUCCAGAACUUGGAAUGCCUUUUCACUUGGAACAGCAGUUAAGGGUUUUUAUAUAUAUAUAUGAUCUUGUUUCAUUUCUUCAUCUUCCACAGAUUUGUAUGUUGGAGAGUCUUGUUAAGAGAUUGAGUUUCGUAGGCAUCAGAAAUGCAACAGCAAAUUUUAGCCAAGCCAACAAAAUUGGAUUGGGACGAAUGGGAACCAUGUAUAUGGCUACCCUUCCUGAUGGUAGGUUCCUUUCAGUGAAGAGGAUAGUUGACUCUCAACAGUUUGAGGAACAGAUAGUUUCUGAAUUGAAAACAUUUGGUACAUUAAAGCAUAAGAACUUACUGCCCCUGUUCGGAUUCUGCGUAGAAUCAAAUACAAGGCUUCUGGUGUACAAGUAUAUGUCUAAUGGAAACCUUUUUGAUUGGAUACAUCCAGUGAAGCACCGGAGGAAGACUCUGCAAUGGCCUUUGAGGUUGAAAAUUGCGGUUGGGGUAGCAAGAGGCCUGGCAAGGCUCCACCAUGGCUGCAGAGGUCAAGUGGUGCAUCUCAACAUAAGCUCAAAGUGUAUUUUGCUUGAUAAGAAUUUCGAACCCAAGCUAUCGAAUUUCGGAAAGGCGAUGCUGAUCAUGAGUAUGAGUAACAGUCCAGGAGUGCAUAAUGAGUUUUGUGAGAUGGCGCUUGUUAAGGAAGAUGUGCACGGAUUUGGAGUUGUACUGCUUGAGCUGAUUACUGGGAUGGAUUGUAGCAAAAUUAAUUUUUCCUCAAACAGCAUUCUUAAUGAAUGGAUUGGUCAUCUCUUGAGCACUUCUUAUUUUAAUGAUGCCAUGGAUAGGUUUCUGAUUGGGCAAGGAUUUGACGAUGAGAUCUUUCAGCUGCUUAAAGUUGCAUGUAACUGUCUUGAUUGCACUCCAGAUCGAAGGCCGACAAUGCUUCAAGUGUACAAGGACAUAAAGGCAAUAACCAAGAGAUGUGAAGUGGUUGAUGAUUCAGAGAUCCAAAUGCAGCCUGAAAUUUGUCCUGCUACUUCUCAAGACUAAUCUGUUGCCAGCAAAAACAGGACCGAAGUUAGCAGAUCUAUAUUUUCCUGUUUCUAUCAUGUUCAUAAACCAACAUGUAAGAAGCAAUAUUGUAUAGAAUAUAAUUGUGUCCGGGAAUAAGUUGCCAGCAUUUUACUUUGUAAUUCAAACAGAAGAUCAAUCUGAUCAAAAUACGCCGAUGAGUGAAAAUGGUUUGGAUAAUACUUCCUGAUCUUGUGUUGCAAGUCAAGAUCAAUGGAUUCAAUUCUUCCAGCUUAGAAUAACCAAUUGAAUUUGUGUUUAAAUGUAUAUUAUACAAAUAUUAUCAGAGCUCUGUGUCAGAUGGUAUCACCAUGCUUCUUAAGAAAAGAUUGUUGUUGCAUCUCUUGUAUGUAGAAAAGUCUCAAGUAAAAAAAUAAGCUUAUCAAGAUCAACUAUCUAUCUCAUGUAAAAAAAUAAAAUAAAAUAAUUGCCGUAGGUGACAAGGUUCAUUGCAUAGAAAACAAAAUAUCCACGGGUAGCAGUAGAGUCCCAAAACUAUACUACAGUUGUCUCCUGCCUAACCUUUAGCUUGUGUCGAUGGUCAAUAUUAACUGCGAGGAAGCAUCAUCCAUAAUCCAUAUUUUCACUCGAAUAUUUUUCUUACUUGAAAAUUGUGAUCUAUUGGUCAUAUAUAUAUAUAAAAUCCCAAUUCAAAUUAAUGUGUUAUCUGUUGCUUUCCCUUUCUUCUGCGACCUAGGUAGCUUGAAAACUUCAAAGCAACCUAUUUCGUUUUUUCUGUUCCUUUUCAUUUUACCUUAAGUAAGAUCAGUGCUAGCUACAAACUCUCCAAGAAUGGCCACUAGUCAGAACAGAGCUCAUUCAGUACUGAUCUUUGUCUUGUCUUGUAUAUCUAGUGUAAGUAGUGCAACUGAGCCUGAUGUUUAUUGCUUGAAAUCUGUUAAAGAUUCCUUGGAAGACCCUUACAAUCAUUUCUCUUCAUGGGACUUCGCCAAUCAGACUGAGGGUUUCAUCUGUAGGUUUGCGGGAGUCGACUGCUGGAAGCCUGAGGAGAGCAGAGUCUUAAAUCUAGCACUGUCUAACAUGGGGCUCAAGGGCCAGUUCCCUCCUGGCAUCGAAAACUGCACAAGCUUAACUGGUUUGGACCUUCCAAGAAAUGAGCUUCAGGGGCCGAUUCCAUCUGACAUCUCUAAAAGGCUACCAUACAUCACUAACCUUGACCUAUCCUUCAACAACUUUUCUGGUGAAAUCCCAUCAAGUAUUGCCAAUUUAUCCUUCUUAAAUGUUCUAAAACUAGACCAUAACCAACUAAUAGGAAAUAUCCCACCGCAAGUUGGCCUUCUCCAACGACUCAGGAACUUCAGUGUGGCGGACAAUCUGUUGUCAGGUCCAGUGCCAGAAUUUGUUAAAGCAAAUUCUGCAUGUGGUGUUUUUUUGGUCAAUUGGUGGUUUUUCUUCAUCCACAAAUGUGAAUUAUGCAAACCACCCUGGCCUAUGUGGAGGGCCUUUAGAUCCUUGCAAAGGGCAUAGCAACGAAUUUUAUUCUUCUUUCAGAACUGGGUUUGCUGCUGGUUAUACGGUUUUUUCUGUUUCAGUCAUUGUUGGUUUUGUGUCCGGCUGUGUGCCAUGGGUGCAUGUCAAAAAAAGAAAUAAGAAGAUUACGAUACUAACGAUGGUAAUGCUGGUUUUGAGGAAUAACAGGAAAGAAGCUGAUAAUUUAAGUGCUUCGCCAUCGGUUGAGAACAUACAUGGAGGAGGCAAAGAGGUACUGACUAUAUGAUUAUGUGCAUGUCAACUUUGAGUGGUUUGCUUUUGAAAUUGAUUGCAGGACUUCUUGCUUUUCUUUUUGUCCUGUUAUUAGACUUUUCUAAUUAUCUCUUAUGAGUUUUGAGUUAACUAUUCAUCUGCGGUUACAUGAUGUCUUAAUUUACAGAUAGUCCUAAAUUCUUUAACCUGCUUCAAUUUCAAGGUUAAUACUUGUGUUUCUUCAACAAUUAGUGAGUAAUGGAUUGGGAAUUUCUGUCCUCAGAUUUAUAUGUUGGAGAAGAAGGUUACAAGAAUGAGCUAUACAGAUCUUAAAGAUGCAACAAAUAAUUUCAGCAAAACAAUGUCAUCGGGCAGGGGAAGAUUGGGAUGCUGUACAAAGCAGCGUUGCCUAGUGGUUAUCUCUUUGCAGUGAAGAAAUUACACAACUGUCGAAUCCUCGAGGAGCAAUUCGUGUUAGAAUUGAAGACACUUGGUUCAUUGAGGCAUGUCAACAUACUUCAACUUUCGGGAUUUUCAAUCACAUCAAAACAUUGGCUUCUGGUUUUCAAAUACAUGCCAAAUGGUAACCUUUAUGAUUGGCUACAUCCAAUGGAAGGUCAGGCAAAGAUUAUGGAAUGGACUGUGAGGUUUAAAGUUGCAAUCGGGUUAGCAAGAGGCUUGGCAUGGCUUCAUCAGGACUGCAGUAGUACUAUCCGAGUUUUCCAUCUUAACAUAAGCUCAAAGUGCAUCUUACUUGAUCAGGAUUUCGAGCCAAAGUUGUCGAAUUUUGGGGAGGCGAUAAUCGCAAAUCCAACAAACACUUCCCCUUUGAAUGGUGAGUUUUGGGAUACAGCAUUUGCUAUGGAAGAUGUGUAUGGAUUUGGAGUUGUGCUCCUUGAGCUGAUUACGGGGGUGGAUUCUAGCAGAAUGACUGGUUCCUCGAACAGUCUUCUUAAUGAAUGGAUUAGUCAUCUUUUGACUAGUUCUAAGAUCUAUGAUGCCAUUGAUAAGUCUCUGGUUGGGCAAGGAUUUGAUGAUGAGAUAUUUCAGCUGCUUAAAGUUGCAUGCCACUGUGUUGAUUCCAUUCCAGAUCGAAGACCAACAAUGCAUCAAGUGUACAAAGACAUAAGAGCAAUGACGGAGAGAUGUCGCCAAAUUGAUGAUUCAGAGAUUCUAGUGCAGCAGCAUGAAAUUUACCCUCCCAGCUCAAAGGGCAAAUCUGUUGAGAUUGAAAUGGCAUAGAGUCAAUGGAAACAGGAAAAACAGGACAAAUUUAGGCAACUCUAUCAUGUUUUGGUAUAAUAAACAAGUAUGUAAGAAGCAAUGGGGCUGUUUGAGAACAAGCUUCAACUAUCUAUCCAACUUCAAGGUACUGCAAAAGUGACUACAAAUAUUUCAAACUAGUCUCUUUUCUGGGGACUUGAAAAAAACCUCAGGAUACAGAUUAAAGUUUUGUAUACAACUCCGUCCAAAUUGUCCCAAAAGUCUUGAAUAUUUUCUAUUGCUUUGGACUACAUAUUGUGCAUUCAAUUGACUCUUCAACAAGGGCAUAUUGCAACCUUGUAGACCAUCAGCAACAUUUUUCAACCAUUUUGCUUAACAACAAAUUAAUUUAAGAAAUUUAGCAAAAAGCAUGGCUAGUGAUCAUAGAGUUGGUGGUGAGGAAGUGAAGAGCAAGAAGCAAGUGAUUUCUCAAGGACUAUGUGAGUGGCUUUCCAACAGAAUCAAACCCGUACGUACGUGAAGACAAGUAGCUAGCAUCAAACUAGAAGCACCAGAAGAAGAAAGUGGAAAAUAUGCUGUGGUGGCUUACAAUCUCCGCUUGUCUUGUGAUCCUUUCAUGCGCGGAGGCAUGCAGAAAGAUCUACCACCUGCUAAACAACCUCGUGUUUUGAGUUCCAGCCAGCGCUGGAACUUCACCGAUCUGUUGAUCAACAAGGUUCCUAAGAAUUUGGAUUUGUUUUCGAAGAAGAAAACAAGUAGCAAACGACAAGCACAAGCAACACUAGCCAAUAUUUUCUCUACAAGUAAAGUAGUGAAGGUUGCCCAGGAGUGAUCCGUCUCCCAUUGCAUAUCUUCUGGGCAAUGCCAUCUUGUGCCUUUAGCACUAGCUGUAAAACUAACAAUAUCCCUGUGUAGGAAAACAGUGCAGAUAUAUGGCCUCAUUGCUAAGAGAGGAACAACGUGGUCUGUUGAUAAUUCAGAGAUUCUCCUUAAGAAGAAUCUGUUGUGUGAACAAACAGGAUAAACAUCUUUGAUUUGAUGCAGAUUGCAGAAUGAAAAUAUUUUGCUGGUUAAACAGGACUCCGACAACCAUUCGAUAUGACAGGCCCAUCUUUAUUAGCUGUAAGUCUCGAUUUAUUUGAUAGGCCCAUGUUCUCAAAAUUUUGAGGCCCCCCUUUCAAAUCAUAAUAUUCAUCACAUAAAUUAUUUUGAUAUUGUUAUUAUAAUUGUUUUGAUUUUUUUUUAUCAAGAUAAAUUUUUUUAUUGACAUAUAUCUUGUUUAUCUUAACAUAAAUACUAGUUUUAUAACUUGAAUAAUUUUUUUAUUUAAAAAACAUUUUAUGUUUAUUAAAAUAAAUUAAUAAACAAAUAUCAAAAUAAUAUGUUCAUAUUUUAUGUGUGAUUUAAAACUAAAAAAAUCCUUAAAUGUGAUAAAUCAUGUUCAAAAACUAUUUAUAAAAUUUAAGAAUUAAAAAAAUUUGAAUCUAUUAGUAUUAUUAUUGAUAAUAAAAAAGACUAACAAUGUAUUUUUUUGACUUGAAUAAAAAGACUAAGAAAUCAAUGCAUCUUUUCUUUGUGGAUUCAAGGUAUUCAAUAAAGAAAUGAAAAAUAAAGUUUCGAAAAUUUUACUUGAUUCUUACAAAUUUAAUUCCUAAAUCAUUGAUAAAGAAUUAAAUUUAAUGAUUUCGCACACGAUUUUUUAUCUCAGGAGCAUCUUUGUUCAUGGAAUAUUCAGCUAAAAUUAAUACACAAAACUCCCAUUUAAUGUUUUCUAAGCAUGUCGUCAAUAAAUAAAUAAAACAAUAUUAAGUGGAAAAUCAUUUAUCAUGAACGAGGUUUUCUCACCCUAACAUGUUUUCCCUAAAUUUAAAUCAUUAAAGUUCUUAAUUAUUAAUACUUAUUUUAAUUAUCAUCAUCAAAUUAAAUAAAAAUAAAUCUUCAGAACAUAGAUGUGAAAACCGACAGGGUUUUUACUUUAAAUUAUAUGGAAGCAAUCAUUAAAAGGAGUUGAUAUUAAAGUUGAUGAAGUUUUCCUUCUUUGUUUUUCUUUCUUUUUAGUUUAAACUUUAAAAUCAUAAUUGAAAAGAAUUAUUAAAUAUACUAAGUAUUAUUAAAUUACUCGAAUUAAAGAUUUAAUCUCAAUUAACAUUUAAGUUGAUUGUCGUGCAAAUACUUCUAUUGAAAAAACAAAAAGAAAAGAAGAAAAGUAAGUCUACAUUUUUUGACAAAAACUUAUAAAUCAGGACUUAAACUUUUUUUUUUUUUGACUAAUUUGUUUUCCCGCACUUUCAUGGAAAUUGUAGUCCUAUAGGGCCAUAUUCCAUUCUCUCUUUAAUUACGUGUCCCAUAAACUUGGAUUUUGAUGCAGGAGACUUGGCCUCUUGACUUGAAGAAGUAGACUAACAAAUCAAUGCAUCUUUUCUUUAUUUAUUUCCAUAGCAAUAUAUAGUCCAUACCAAUAUGGUAAAUAAAAAAUCAAGUUGAUUCUUAAAAUCUUAUAAUUUUACAAAUUAAUAUGUAUUUAAUAUGUCAAAUUAAAUAAAAACUUAAAAACUAGUAAAAUUGAUCAAACACGGUAAAAUCAGAUCGAUUUUAACUGUUUAGAAAAAUAUAAAAUUAUACAUUCUGGUAAAUGUACCUUAACAUAUUCAUUGUUUUAAAUUUAUAUCUUGUAAAACUUGUGCGAUUUGAUAAUCAAGGGCUUGAUUUUCACUAUAAUUAUUAUAAUUUUUUUUAAUGAUACAAGUUAUUUGUGGAUUUAUUUCCGUAAGAUUAAAACACUUAUUCAUUCUUCAUAAUUUCUUAUGUAAACUAUUAACAUGUCAAUUAAUAUAUUACUCUGUUUUAACUGGAAAAUAUACAGAAUACAAAUUGUAAAUUAGCAUGCUUGACCCUUGCAAUAAUUAAUGUUAAGUGUGAUAUAUCAAAAUUUGAAAGUACUCGUUUCUUGUAAGUGACGAAGUAAGUGGGUCGAUUUGUCCAAGAAGUAGAGAAAUCAAUGUGAAGAAAAUAAAUGUAUUUGGACUUUUCUAUUGUUUAUUUUAUUUUUAUUUUAAUUGUGUUAUAUUAUUAAUUACUACUUGAUUGAAAUUAUUAAUAUAUAAUUAGUUAAAAUAUUUUACUUAUGAUUUUACGAUUUUAUGAUUCAAGUUUUCAAUUCGAGUUUAUAUUGUAUAUUUUAUGUCGUGUCAAAAAAACAUUUUUGACAACCUUUAUCCAUACUAAUCACUUUAAGAUAAAUCUUAAAUUAAAUACAGGGAACAAAUAAGAUGUUUCUAUAACUACAGGGACUAAAAUGAGUUUCUACCACCUUCGACCUCUACGCUCCACAUCCAUGAACACUACCCAAAACAAGUUUUUAAGCUGUGGGUUUUUGGUUUCAGAGUCCCAAAUGUGGAAUCAAGCUUCCAUACUUUAUCAAUAUACUCCGGAGCUUAUUUUUUAUUCACUUAAGUCCUGGAAGCUAAGUUUUCACAGCGAAAUUACCCCUGUUUUAAGAAGCUAUGUUUCUUAAAAUGGAAGAGAUUAAUCUAAUAUAAGAAUUAAUGGCAAUCAAAACUUCCCAAGUUUCAACAAUUGAAAUUAAUUACAAAAAAAAAUAUUGAGGUUUCAAUGUAAAAAGCUUAUAAUUGAAGGGCUGUGUGUAUUCAUAAGUAUUUUAUUUAAUAUUGUGGUGUAAAGUUUUUUUAAAAAAUAUUUUUUUGCUUGAAAUUAUAUUAAAAUAAGUGUUUUUAUUUUUUUAAAAUUAACAUAUCAAAAAAAUACUAAAAAUAUAUUAAAUUGAUUUUUUAAAGUCAAAUAUACUUUUAAAAUAUAGUUUCAAAUACAAAAACGAAAGAUUUAACCCUACUUUUUAAGAAAAUGGAUACUUUUAUUUUUAAUCAAAUACAAAAACAAAAGAUUUAAUCUCAGCUAAUAUUUAAGUUGACUGACGUGCAAAUACUUUUAUUUAAACAAAAAAGAUGUGGAAAUUGAAAGAAGUUGAAAAUGAGGACUUAAGCUUUUUGACUAGUUUGUUUUCCCCACACUUUCGUGGAAAUUGCAGUAAAGGGCCAUCCAUUUCAAUGCAGAAGAAGUAGCUCAAGAAUAAAUGCUCUCUUCGGAGAUUUCAGAAACAAAAACAGAUUUCAAUUCAAAAUUUCCUUUUAAGUAGGUAUUUAUGGUUCUUAUUUCUCAAUUUUGGUCAUUCCAACCAUUCCAUUGUAGUCUACUCUGAUGAACUCUCAAAUCCAAAUGGCUAAUUUAUUUUUUAUCUACUCUUUUAUGUUCUUCUUGUUAAUUAACUACUUUCACCGUAACAAGUGCUACUGAGACUGAUAUUUAUUGCUUGAAAUCUAUUAGGGAUUCUAUGAUAGACCCUAAUGGAUACUUAAACACCACUUUGUUGGGUUUGUUACCAUUAAUGUACAAUAAAUGGACGGCAACAACCAUUAAUAAUAAGAGAAUAAGAGAAAAUGUAAUCUGUAUAUGUUUUUUUUUGGUGAUUGAAAAUAGUACAACAGAAGCUCACAUAUAUAUACAUUCUAAACUAAUUAGUUACAAAAUAUUAUUACAAAUAUAAUUUCAAUAAUUUCAAUUUCAAUUUUGAAAUCAUGAUUAGUGUAGGUUCAUCAAUGUAGUAGAAUAUCCAUCAUAAACAAGAAGCUCACAGUUACAAAGUUUGAAUCUUUGUAACUGUAACUCUCUUUUGGAACUCUCUUCUUGAUCUUCAAUAUCCAUUAGCUAGCUGGAGAUGUAACAAUAACAACAUUUAAAUUUUUAACUCUCUUCUUGGUCUUUAAUGUCUGUUAUCUUCUUAUGCUUAACACGGUAAACAAACCCCAAAUAAAAAGAUUUGUUUCUUGAAUUGCCAUUAUCUAAAACCCGCCUUGAGUUCUUCAGCCCUACACCUGGAAAACUUGGAAAUUUAUAUGGAAGGGUGGAUUUGUUCUUUGUUUAAAUUUUAAAAUUGUAUUGAUUCGGGAAGUAAAUUGUAGAUUUUAAAUGAAUGGAGUCGAGAUGAUAGAAGUGUGAAGGCAUUUUUUUCUAAAAAAAAAAUUAAUUUCAAACAACGACCCGCAUGACAAAAAAGAAGAGAAAAAGAAAAAUAAAUCGACAUCAUCCGACAAAGAAGUUAUAAAUGAGGACUUAAGCUUCUUGACUAAUUUGUUUUCCCAAGCUUCGUGGAAAUUGUAGUAUAGGGCCAUCCAUUUCAGGGCAGAAGAUGUAGCUCAAGAAUAAAUGCUCUCUUUACUAUACUGUCCAAAAGAAUCAAACCCGUACGUACGUCACGACAAGUGGCUAGCAUCAAACUAGAAGCACCAGAAGAAGAAAGUGGAAAAGAUGCUGUGGUGGUUUACAAUCUCUGCUUGUCUUGUAUCCUUUCAUGCGUGGAGGCAUGCAGAAACAUCUACCACCUGGUAAACAACCUCAUGUUUUGAGUUCCAGCCAGCGCUGGAACUGCACCGAUCUGUUGAUCUGCAAGGUUCCUAAGAAUUUGGAUUUGUUUUCAAAGAAUUAAGAAAACAAGUAGAAAAUUGACGUAGAUGAAAACAAAACCAAGAAAAACAACAAGCACAAGCAACACUAGCCAAUAUUUUAUCUGCAGGUAGUGAAGGUUGCCCAGGAGUGAUCCCUCUACCAUUGCAUAUCUUCUGGGCAAUGCCAUCUUGUGCCAUUAGCAGCACUAGCUGUGAAACUAACAAUAUCCCUGUGUAGGAAAACAGUACAGAUAUAUGGCCUCAUUGCUAAGAGAGCAAUAACGUGGUCUGUUGAUAAUUCAGAGAUUCUCCUUAAGAAGAAUCUGUUGCGUGAACAAACAGGAUAAACAUCUUUGAUUUUAUGCUGAUUGCAGUAUGAAAAUAUUUUGGUGGUUAAACACGAAGGAAGGGGUACUGGACUCCUACAACCGAGAAGGUUUUUACUUUAAAUUAUAUGGAAGCAAUCAUUAAAAAGAGUUGAUAUGAAAGUUGAGGAAGUUUUCCUUCUUUAUUUUGUUUUUCUAUUUUAGUUUAAAUUUUGAAAUCACAAUAAAAAAGAAUUAUUAAAUAUAUUAAGUAUUAUUAAAAUUGCUCGGAUUAAAGAUUUAAUCUCAAUUAACAUUUAAGUUGAUGACGUGCAAAUACUUCUAUUGAAAUAAAAAACAAGAAAAAUAAGUCUACAUUAAUUGACAAAAACUUAUAAAUCAGGACUUAACCUUCUUUUUUGACUAAUUUGUUUUCCCGCACUUUCGAGGAAAUUGGAGUCCUAAAGGGCCAUCCAUUCUCUCUUGACGUGUCCCAUAAACUUGGAUUUUGAUGCAGGAGACUUGGCCUUUUGACUUGAGGAAGUAGACUAACAAAUCAAUGCAUCUUAAUUCUUUAUGGACUCAACGUGUUCAAUGAUCUCUUUUUAUCUAUCAAAAUGCUGUAGAAAAUUAAGAGCUUCUAGAUCACUUUGUUAACUUAAACCUUGAACGAUCUCUUGGUAUUUGCUGCUGUCUUGCUAUCUACAAAAUGGCUGUGGGUGGUGCAAAACUUGCUCUUCUUUUGAUUCAUAUCCUCAGUGUUGCCGGCAAAACUUGCUCGUUCGACUACGGGAGUGAUGAUCAUGAACAUCGGAAAAAGUUGGAUUCUUCACUCAAAAGUGGGUUUUUGAUAGGUUAUGUCUUCUCUUCAGUUUCCAUUAUAACUAUUUUCAUGUCCUGUUGUGUGCCUUGGGCUCGUCUCCUCAAGAGGAAAGGGAAAGAGGUGAUGAUGAAGACACCAAUGAUGACAUCUUUGAUGGAAAGGCAAGAGAAGAAGAGAAAAGAAGCCAACGUGCAGGUAUAUAUCCCCAUAAGAUUUUCAUUUCAUCAUCAUAUUUUUAGUUUCUUGCUAGCUUUUUUUAUUUAUUUAUUAUUAUUAUGAAGAUGAUAUAUAUAUGUAGUUGCUUGUAUUAAGGAUAAAUCAAUAUUCUUCAGUUGGCAAGACCAUGGAUCGUUGCAAACUUAAUUGAAUAGAUCACAGACCAAAACAUUAACUCAUUACAGAAAUAGCCAAAAAAAGAGAAGCCUCUAGUCCACGUCCUUAAUUAAAGUACCACACAAGUGACACAAACAAAACAAUUCAUUAACUCGUCGAUGUUAUUAUUCUGACACCCUCAAUGUUUGUAAAUUUAAAAUUACAUUCAUUAAUUAAAAUUACUUUUUUUUAAAAAAAAUUAUAUACAUAUCGUUGUAAAGGAAAAACAAACUUACAUUGAAAGGUCAUUCUUUCACUGAGCCUUUUGGGUAAAUGAAUCCCGCUGUGAAGGGACCACCCCUCAACGUUGCGGCAUCGCGUACUCUACGAGCCAGUGUCGAGAGUGGCUGCAUGUGUCUCAGGUGUCGGAUCUUGGUCGAUACCUAACAACUUAUGGUUGUCGAAAGCGUUGUUGGAAGAACUAGUAGCAUUUUUGUUUGUACAAUGUGUUAUUCACUUUCUCUUAGGCAUCUACACAAAUUAAAGGAUUAAGAUACUGCAAUUCAUUCACAUUUUAAAAAAUUUGACAGCACCUCCCUUAUACGAGAGACUACCCAUAAUUUUUAAUACUGCAAAUACAUAAUAAUUUAAAUUUAAUUGCCAUAAACCAAUUGAUUUUAUUCAAUUUGUUUCCUUGUCACUGUGUGAAGAGUUCACUCAACUUGUAAUCAACCUAGUUUUUAUAUAUUUUUUUUAAAUUCUAAAGUUUGUCAAUAUUACCGUUAGUGUACAAUUGUUUGGUUAAUUGUUUCCAAAAAUUUGGUUAAUUUUUCAAGUUAAAUAGUAAAAGUGUCUUGUUUUUUCUCUCCUGUAAUAUUAUUUACUUACUUUUCAGAAUUCCACAUUUCAACAUUUAUACACAGCUCAUGGAUUUCUAAAUACUAUUUAAAACAUAAAAAAUAACCCAAUUUGGCAUUUAAAUAAAAUUUUUCAUAAAUCUUUAAUUUAUAACUACUCCAAAUUAUAUCAAUUAACUCUUAAUUUUCAACAACUCAAAACCAUAAACCACAAACCACAAAUUAUAAAAACAUGAAAUUAAUCAAUAUAUUUAACCAAUUGAACCCUAAUUUACAAAAUUCCAAAAUAAUAAUUAAAAUUAAUCCUAUACAUUUAAUUGAAAUUAAACAACAAAAUUGAAACAAAAUGUAGAAGUUUGGACACAUGUUAAUUUUCUAGUAAUUUAGGUUGAGUGGUUUCAUCAUGGAUUUAGCAACAUAAAAGUUCUCUUUCAAUCUAUUUUAUUUAGAUAAAAUGUUUUUUACCCAUUUAAUAAUUCUGUCAUAACCAGCCUCACGUAUUUACAUAUAUGUGGACUCUUUCCUUAAUAAUCUAUGCAACAACCGAUAAUUCACUCUGAUUUGUGCCCUAAUCCCAUAAUGGUUUAUCAGAAUCUGUUCAAAGAUAAAAAAAAAAAAUCAUGUCGUAUCUGCAUUAGGUUCUUCAUCUACAAUUGAAAAUUCACUUGCAUAACCCUUAUUUAUUUCAUCACAUCUAUAACUAUAUUCCUUUAAGGAUUACUAUUGUCAUCUACAAUUCCAUGCACAUUGCUAGAGCUAGAAGUUGACUCAACCAUCCAUUCUACCAUGGUCUCGUGAGGAACAUAUGGUUCUCUGUAUGAAAACCAACACAAGUAUUUUUUUCAUGAACUCUUUUUGUAAAAGAUGCAUCGUUACAACAUCUAGAUUAAAAAAUAUUUUUAUUUUUACACCUCUUACAUGGAAAUCUAAUACUAUUUUCCCUAAUAUUUCUUGGAUUAGAUAGUGCGUAAUUAAUAAAAUCCUGAACCUCAUUACAAUAUUCCAUCAUUCACAACCCUUUAGAUAAAUCUUGAUACAUCCAUGAAUAAUCAUCAAUUACUUAUAUCAAACCUAUAUAGAAUAUUGUUGACAACAUGUAUUAAUUAAUUACGUAAACUAAAUAAAUUUACAAAUAUUGGUUUAACUCAAACUUAUUCAAUCUAUUUUAAUAAUCCUUUUAAUUCAUUAUCAAUUAUUUACAUAAAUUCAAAUUUCUAUAUAUUUAAUGAAAAUUUUAACUCAACAAUAAAUUGACAAAACAUAAAAUGAGCCCGUUAAAUAAGCUAUUAUUUAUUUCUUCACAAAACACUUACGUCACAAAUUCAAAAUAAAUUUCAUUAAUUUACAAACAAAUAUAAUUUUAUAAAAUUUCAAACAAAUCCUAACAUGUACAAAUCAUACAUUCAUAAAAUAAUUUCUAUGGGAAAAAGUUAUAAAACAAGUAAACAUCCAAACAAAAUAUAUAUACUACAAAAAUAUACAAUAAAAAUUAAUAUUUUAAAACUUAGUUCAAAUAAAAAAUAUAUAGUUUUGCUUACUUGAAGCAGGAAAUCCUCAAUAAAACUUGAAUUAGAAUAUUGAUGUUGACAAACUAAGUGUUUGGCUGACUGAAUUUAUAGUGAAAGUUUGAUUUGGAAAAACAUGAGGGAGUGUGCUGUUUGUUGUAGAGAAAAAUAGAGGAAGAAGAAGAAAUGAGAGAGGAGGAGAGAAGGGUUGCUCAUUAGGUCAUAAAUUAAAUAUUACAGACAGCUUUACCGGUAGAAUUAACCUAUUUAUAAUUAAUUCUGUAUAUAAAAAUGACAUGUCAUCGUACAUUUUGACUUUUUUUUUUCAAUUCUUUCUUUUAUCACUGUAAUUCCUGGAUGUAUACUGAGAGAAUAUUUCAAUUGGUGUUUACUGAUUGAUACAUAGAGAGAAUACUUCGUUGGUAAAGUUCAUUGCAAUCUACUAACACAAAAUUUAUGUUAGUGUUUUCGUUUGUAUUUGAUAAUUUUUUGGUAGUGCUAGAAAAAUAUUUUUAAUUCUAAAUAGUAACUUCUUGGUGGAAAUCAACCCUGGACUUAGUGGUAGGCCUUCAAAACCCUGCCAAGGACACAUAAAAGAAUUUUGUUCCACUCGUUCAAAAGUGGAUUUGUGGUUGGUUAUAUGCAUUAUCUGCUGUUUCAAUCGUAAUUGUUUUUGUAUCCUAUUGUUUGCCUUCGAUCCAUCUAAAAUAAGGGUAGUAAGAAUAAGAAGAUAGCUGAUAAAUCAGAGAUUUUAUAGGAAUGUUAUGUCGGUGAUAUGAUAGUCUAGGUGCUUCUUAGACACUCGUCUAAUUUGGACAAGGAUGAGCAGAUUUUUUAGAGGAAAGUUCUCGAGACAUUUUCAUGAGGUUUCUAGAUCUAGGGAGAAAGACAGUGAUGAUAGAAAAAUCUGGAUUGUAACUUUUAACAUUACCAGCUGUGGAGCUCAGUUAUGGAGGCAGCAAAGUGGUCAACUCUCUCAUUCUGUGCAUGUAAACUGUUGAGAUCAUUUUGUUUUUUGUUAUGGCUCCUUGACAAAUGACAAUCUUAUGAAUAAUUCUAAUUAGCAAUUUUUUUUGUGUAAAAUAGCGUUGUUCAUCUUUCACUAAUUCUCAUCGGUGAUUUCAUCAACAGAAUUCGGAGUUGGAGAAGAUGGUCACAAGAACAAGUUUCGCGGCACUCAAUAUUGCAACUCGCAGUUUUGACCAAGACAAUGUCAUCGGAGUCGGAAAGAUGGGGACAAUGUACAGGGCAGCACACCGUUAUGAUUUGUUUACUGCAGUUAAGAGGUUACAUGACUCUCAACAUUUAGGGAAACAGUUCAGGUCUGAGCUAAUCAUUCUAGCCAAGUUCAGACAUAUGAACAUAAUUCCACUACUGGGAUUCUGCAUAGAAUCCGGGGAAAGGCUUUUGGUGUACAAAUAUAUGCCAAAUGGGAACCUUCAUGAUUGGUUACAUCCUGUGAAAUGCAACGCUGAAAAACUGGAUUGGCAUGUCAGGGUUAAAAUCGCCAUCGGAGUAGCCCGAGGCUUGGCAUGGCUUCAUGAUUUUAACAACUUCCUGAUAGUUCAUCUUGACAUAUGCUCAAGAAGCAUCUUGCUGGAUAAAUAUUUUGUACCAAAGAUAUCAAAUUUUGGAGGGGCAAUGCACAGGAGAUCAAAUGACAAGGGCUUAAUUGCAAGUAGUAAGAUAGGUGAACUGGAAUUGAUCAAGCAGGAUGUCUAUCAAUUUGGUAUUCUUCUUCUUGAGCUAAUUGCAGUUCAUGAUCCUGACCAUAACAGUAAAUCAUCUCACACUCUAGAGGAGAAUUUGUUUGAACGAAUCGCUCAUCUAUCGAGCAGUUCUUCUGGCCUCUAUCAUGCUGUUGAUAAAUCUCUUCUUGGUCAAGGAUUUGAUGGUGAAAUAGUGAAAUACUUCAUUUUCUGAAGAUCGCAUCUAGCUGUAUUCAUCCCAUUCUAGAUCAAAGGCCAACGAUGCUUCAAGCAUUCCAAAUGUUAAUGGUUCUCAGGGGGAGAGAGAGAGAGAGAGAGAGAGAGAGAGAGAGAGAUUCAUCGAAAAUCCUAAGCUAUUGGCUCAACUGACUGGUCGCUGCUAAUUAAGUUGAUGAUAGCAUUGAGCUGGAGUCAGCAGAAACAAAAUGAAACAGCAGAUGUGUGUAUGCUAUAUAAAAUCAUUGUUUCUGGUUUUGUAAGUGAAACAAUACAGAUAUGGCCUCAUUGCUAAAGCACUCUUUGGGAGUGUUAUUGGAAGGCACCUUUUCAAAUUGGUAAUUUUUUUCUUUUAAUAAAAAAUUUAAAUUAAUAUUUUUUUAGUAUUUUUUAUUAUUAUUUUGAUAUAUUAAUAUUAAAAAUAAUAUAUAAAAUUUAUUUUAAUAUAUUUUCAAACAAAAAAACACCAACUUUUACCAUUAUCUCCGCCAAGCUCUAAGAGAGUAAUGAUAUGAUCUGUUGUUGAUAACUCCGAGAUUGUCCUGAAGAAGAGUCUGUUGUGAGAAAUGGCAAACAACCAAUGAAAACAGAAGAAAAAAAGUUAAUUUAAAAAAUAUCUUUAAUUAAAACUAUUCUAGGAUAGAUUUUUAUUUACAAAAUAAAUAAAAAUUCAGCAUAUUUUAGCUUGUCAAUUAUGCAGAUUAGGAGGCAGUGCUUGUUUCUUGAUGGCACGUACAUUUCAUUGUUGAUGAAAUUGUAAAUAAUUGUUUUAUGCAAAACCAUCAUUCCUUAACAACAUAAAUGCAUAUUCCUGAAAAUAAAGGAGGGGUAUUCACUAAACACCUCCUCACAUAAUAAUAUUAACCGGAACAAAAGUGUUUUUUCCUUAGUUUUUUUUUUAAUUUUUUUCUAAUAUAUAUAAUUUUUUAAUUUUAAUUCUAUUUUUCAAUACUAGGUUUACUGAGGAUUCAACUUCAAAACUUUUUUAAUUUAUUUUUUAUGAGGUUAUCUUAAAUUCAUAAAUCAGACUACCAGUAUAAUAGGUUGACUUAAGUUUCCAUCUUCAUAUUAAUUAAAAAUAUCUCUUAAAUAUUUAAUAUGAGUCAAACUAUAUUUUUAAUUAUUUUAAUAAGUAAUCAAUCUAUUAAUAAAUUUAUUGGUGAUUUUUAUAUCGAUAAAAUUAGUGUUUUUACACCAAUAAAAUAUCCCAUCUGUGUUAUGCUAUAUUUUGUGGUGGAAGUUGUGAAAACCUCAGAUUGAAUUUAGGCUUUCCAUGACAGUGACAUCGGUUCAAGGUGACCAUCGUGCAAAAGGUUAACCGGAGAUAGUAUAAGAAAUAUUGGAGAGAGAGGGUGGCGUAGAUGCAGGGUUUGGCUGGACCGAAGCUGGAGAGGGUUCGGUUUGACUUGCCCUGGGGAGUGUUCGGUGAUUGAAUUUUCUCCCCCUCCUUUAUUUCCUACCUUCGGUUGUGUUUGGCCACGAGAGGAUUAGGUUGGACAUUGAGAAGACGAGGAGAUGGUUAGGUUGGGAUGAGGAGAUGAGGUUUUGGUCCUUCUUUCUUACCUUGUUUAGGCAUCAGUUGGGCUUUUUAGAAUUUUUUUUUGGUGCACCAUCAAUUUGGAACUGGUCACUCUCGUAGAUAUGUAAAUUAAUAACUCUAUGGUUUUGUUAUCCCUUAGUUAAUUACAGCCUGAAUUUACUUUAAUAUGCAAAUAUAUUUUGGUGAUUAUUCCCUCCAUAUUAGUUUUUGAUAGCUAUCUCAUUUGGCUGUUGUUCAUUGUUGUAGAUACACAACUUCUGAAAUUAUGGCUCCGCUAGUUCCAUGACCAAGUAAAAAAAAACAACACAGAGUAGUAGUGCUACUUGCCAGAACCCAUCAUUCAUCAUAUUUUCUCCUUCCUUGAAAUAAAUGACAUUACUCGAAUUGGUGCAGUAUAAAAAACGUUCAGACAAAUUUUAUCUGUAGAUGGUCCUCCAAUUUUGUGUAAGUAAUGCUAGGUUAAAAAAUAUAAUUUAUAUUAUUUUUUUAACAAACAUGAUCCAAUAUGAAACUUUCUGAUUUGAGUCCUUACCUAGCCCAUGUUUAAUAUUACACCAUGUGGGAGUUGAUCCUAAGUAAUUUUAUUGACUUGGCCGGUUUAAAGAUAACCUGAUUGUCUAGAAAAAAAGUAUAAGAAUGAAAAUAAAAAAAGUAAAAUUUAUAGAAAAAAAAACCUUUCAAACCAACUUCUUGUCUAACUUGAGUUUAAAAUUAAAUCAUGUAAGAGUUGUUUUAACGUGACUCAUUCAACUUGGCCAGUGCAAAGAUAUCCUAGCCGACCAAUAAAGAAAUUUGAGAAUGAAAGUGAGGAAACAUUGAUGAAAUUGAUUGGAAAAAACCUCUCAAACUGAUUUAUUAUAUGGUUUGUAUUUAAAAUUAAAUGUAUAAAAGUUGUCUCGAUAUAAUUUAGUCGACUUUGCUUGUCUAGAAGUAACGUAGAUACUUGUUAAAACAAAUCUAAAAAGAUGAAAUUGAAAGAAAAAAAAUAAAAAAGAUAUAAUAAUAAUAAUAAUUAAUGAGAGCUGAAUUGAAAAAAAAAAAAAAAAAGGUAAGAAGAAGAGGAGGAGGAGGAGCUUAUAAUUUUUCCCAAGUUAUUUAGUAUAGGAGGUAAUAUUGAGCCAGCUAACUCUAAUAUAUAUAUUUUUUAACGAUAACGAGUAUCCUCAGUUAUAUUUAUUAAUCAAUCGAGAAUAUAUAUUUUUUCUUUUUAUCAUUUUAAGAAUACACCCCCAUACAAUAAUUAAAUAUGUUCAAUCUAUGUAUGUGUGUAUAUGUGCUAACGACCAAAUAUUUAUAAUGUGGGCAUAAAUAUUUCAAGUUGUGAACUUAAAUAAAUUCAGCAUAGUUUUGGACUAAUUAACUAUAAUUAUAGUGAAAGUCUAUGUGUCAUGGUAUGUGCUCCACAUUCAACUCUCUUCUCACCUGAAUGCGAAAUUGCAAGUACAGCACAAACAAAUAGAAUGUUAUCCAAAAAAAAAAAAAAAAAAAACAAAUAGAAUGUUAAAUAACUAUUCAAAGCAUAUACUACAGCCGCAUAAUUUCCCUGUAGCAUAUGAUGGCAAAUCGAUGUAGGUCCAAGUUCAUGCUGAGAUUAUGUAACCAAUUUCCAAUUGAAGAAGAAAUUGGACUCUAGGGCUUCAGCUCCUUUAAAUUUGUGAAGAAGAUGAGGAGUGAUCGACUUGUAUAAUCAUUCAAAGUUCACCACAUGGGGAUUUCUUCUUCAAUUGUCUAGUAAAAAAUGAGAUCCAUGCAUGUGAAUAUAUUCUGUAAUCUCAGUGGAUGAUAAGGUAUUUCAUUUACACACACAUAUUGAUGAGGCAUGCAUUUAUACAUGGAAGAACAUGCACGAACAAUUUAAUUCAUCAGCAACCGAUCAUAGGUCAUAUGGAAGUUUAUUUGGUAACCAUUUAUACUGUUAAAGUUUAUUUAACUUUUCAAUUAUAGACUUUUUCUGUAUGAAUCGACGUUCGAUAUUGGAACACAAGACAAGAAACCCCAUGUGGAAAGCUUGUUACAUAUGUUGGCCUGCUCCGAUCCAUGGGGAGCUAGGUUACUUGUCACUCUGAGUUAGUUGAAAACAGUUUCAAGUCUGAAAUCAGCUAUAUUAAUUUGACAAGAGAAAUUGACAUGAACAUGAUAAUCACGUUACUGAUCUCUUGACCUCCUAGGUUAAGUCAUUUUGGAUUGAUAUAUUAAAGUUAGGCAAGAACAGGGACCGAAUUAAAAGUGGCUACGCACAUGCUUUACAAGUGGUUAGUCUUCAAAAAGAGUUGAUAUAUGAACAUCGAGUAAGCUACGAACAGCGCCUUUCACACAUCAAACAUUGUUGCCCAUGCAUGUGUUUGUGUGUGUGUUUUGAAGACGAGCACUAAAAACACACCAAAAGGCCACUCCUUGUCCGUCUAUUGUUCAGGCUGAUCAGAAAAGAAUUUUGGUUUCUGAACUAUGUAUGUGAUUGCACAACCUUAAUUAUUCCAAAAUUUAAAUACUAAUUAAUAUUCAGAACCUGUCCCGAGCAUCUUGCCGUAAAUUCAUGAAAACUAUUAAGCCACCACAGCUGUGAAAAGGAACAUGCAUGGGGAUAAGGAGAAAUUAAAAUGGUUAGUGAAGGCCGCAAAUAUGCUCAUUGGCUAUUGAUUGGUUCGGUCCCAACUUCCAACCCAUAGACUUACAACCCAACUUCCAUAUGCAAUAUGUAAAUUUAAAGUUUGAGUAAAUUAUUAGAAACCAAUGGAUUUUCAAUAUUCAAAAGAAGUUUGAGUAAAUUAUUAUUUAUUUCCUUAUGUUUGGCCUCUUGUUAGUGUUUUUAAGCAUAUUUGGGACAUAAGAAAAAAAGAACAACAAAUGUUUUUUUUUUAUAGUAAUCGAGAAUAUUAUAAAUAAAGCAGAGCCUAGUGGACAAGAGUUUUGCCACUAUUUAUAUAACCCAUAUAUCAAACUAAUCGGUCAAAAUUGAGAGAAUCUGCUUAGCCCCUUAGUCUUCGGGAUCAAAGUCACAAAAGACGAGCUGAUACCUUUGGGUAAUUUACCUACUCUGAAAAAUUCUUUGACCAUUACAAAGAUGUCGGAGUUGAUAAGGUUCCAUACCUUUUUAUAGAAGGAGAAGGUAAUCCCACAUGGCUUGCUUCACUUCCUCCACUGAAGACGGUCUUUCUAACCAAACUGAUCUUGCUUCUGAAAUUUUAGAGAACCCCGAGCCUCCCAUUUCAAUUCUUCUACAUUUUGGCUUGGCAAACAGAGUUGAGAAGUAGUUGACAACGCCCUUUUUUAUGCCAUUUAGAGAGACCAAAAUUUUGCCAUUUUGCUCAAUCUUGCUAAUGUGGUUGCGGCCAUUCCUCAAACUUGCCGAAAGGUGGAAGAAACAUGUGUUCUUAUCCCCCUUUUUGCACUAGUUUUGGUGGGAUUUUUGCCUCCAAAUAUCCUCAACCUUCCUGCUAACCUCCCAAAGCUUAGAGUUCAUAUUCCCCAAUGUACCUUUGAUGUCUGAAGAAGUAGUUGACAAUGAUUAGACAUCCCUCUAAGGUAGCGGUAGAGUGAAAAGAACGGAAACUGAAGAUGGAAUUCUAGAGAUGUAAAAGCCCUGUUGAUGCGACUCAUGGAGCCCCCCUAAACCAAUUGAAACAAUGGCUCUGCAAUUUGAAUUCAAUCAAAUCACAAUCGGACAAGAAAUUAUAGAGCAAAGCUGACCCCUGAAUGAUUAAAGUAACCGCUACUUCUCUCAUGAGCAUGUAAAAACCUAUGCCAUCCUUUGUGUCCCAUCAAAAACACGAAAAGUGAAAGAAUUACGAGCAAGAUUAGAAAAAAUUGUGAGAUUAAGGCCAUGAUUUUUGGGUAAUAAGAGCUUAUUUAAAAGAAAUACCCACUUUUCUUUCCGUUCUUUGCUCCACCUGUCACGUUCAAUCCCACUUUUCAACAAUUUCAUUUGGCAAAAAUUCUUUCAUAUAUACUAAAUAAUGUGUAUUAAUAACCAAAAUAAUGUGGAAAACUAUCUACGUAAUCAACUUUUCAAGGUUGAGGCACGAAGACAUAGAAUGAAUUAACUUCCUAAUCUAUCUUAAAUUUUUCCAUUAACAGGGAGUUAGUUAGUGUAAGGUUAUGGUAGUUAAAUGUUGUUCGAAUUAAAUAAUUUAAAAUUUUGUAAUGAUGAAUAAAUUAAUCGGUGUAUAUGUAUAUAAACACUAAUAAUGAGAUAAUCUUUAAUUUCUAAUUUUUAAUCUAAUCACUUCUAUGGUUAGAUUAAAAAUUUGAUAUGAGAAUUUCACUAAUUACUACUACAGCAUCAAUUACCAUUAAGUAAUAAUAAUUAGUUUUUUAAAUAGCAUUUAAUUUCUAUCUCGAGGUAGAAAAAAUAUGUUUACCUGUUAUUAAUUUAUACUUUAAAUUGACAUAAAUUUAUUUUAAAACUAUUCUAACUAUAAAUUUAUUUUAUAUUUUAAUUUUUUUUAAAAUUUAUUUAUUUUAUCAUGAGAAACUAAUCAAUAUGAAUGCAUUAAUAGCAUCCGUUAUUUUAUUUUAUUUUAUUUUUCAUAAAAGAUGCCUUAUAUUUUCAAAUACCCAAUAUUAAAUCUCCACAUGCAUUCUAUAUCCAAACUUCCUAUAAAUACCACCUUCAGCUGCUUCAGAUUCCCAUCUCUCCAUUUCAACUACUCAUCACCUGCAUCAAUUCAAAUAUUAUCCGAUACCAAAAAUAUCAAUGGCAGGCCUUCCACUUCCAAUGAUCCCCCAUCCUAUUACCCUUUUCUUCAUCAUUUUCUUUGCGUUCUCACCUUUAGUAAAGGCAGCACAACAUAGUGUGUUAAGUUAUGGUGCCAAACCUGAUGGAAAAACUGACUCCACCAAGGCCUUUGCUGCUGCUUGGGCACAGGCAUGUGCCUCAACACAACCAGCCACAAUUUCUGUUCCUAAAGGGAGUUUCUCUUUAGGUCAAGUGAGGUUUCAGGGUCCUUGCAAGAACCGUGCUAUCUUGGUACGUAUAGAUGGCACCCUAGUUGCACCAUCAGAUUAUAAGGUCAUUGGCAACGCUAAAAAUUGGCUAAUGUUUGAGCAUGUUAAUGGGGUUACUGUAUCUGGAGGGACUCUUGAUGGCCAGGGUGCUGGACUGUGGUCUUGCAAGAAUUCCGGCAAGGGUUGCCCCAGAGGCGCAACGGUAUGAUAAUAAAGCACAUGCAUGCAUGACAUAAUCAUCUUGCAAUAUUUUGGUCAGUAGACUAAAGAUAGAUAUAUUUUCAAGGUCUUAAUUUUUCUUGUUAAUGUAUAUACUGUGCAGUCACUUGAGUUUUCCAAUUCAAACAAUAUUGCAAUCACCGGAUUGGCAUCAUUAAAUAGCCAGUUGUUUCACAUUGUCAUCAAUGGUUGCCAAAACGUCAAAGUGCAAGGAGUCAGAGUCUCUGCCGCCGGAAACAGCCCUAACACGGAUGGUAUUCACGUUCAAUCAUCAACCGGUGUCACCAUAUUGAAUUCUAGGAUUGGAACAGGUGACGACUGUGUAUCGAUUGGCCCCGGUACCUCAAGUUUGUGGAUUGAAAAUGUGGCAUGUGGACCUGGCCAUGGAAUCAGGUAAAUAAGAAAUUAUAACAUCAACUAUAAGUUUAUAUCAAUUAUCAUCUGCUCCUAUUGUUUAAUGUGUUGCUAAUUAUGGGAACUGAAAUGAUGUGUAUAUGGUUGAUGUAGCAUUGGAAGUUUGGGCAAAGAAUCCCAAGAGGCUGGUGUGCAAAAUGUUACAGUCAAGACCACUACAUUUACCGGUACGGAAAAUGGACUGAGAAUUAAGUCUUGGGGAAGGCCUAGCAAUGGUUUUGCUAGAGAUAUUCUUUUCCAACAUGCAGUCAUGAAUAAUGUCCAAAAUCCUAUUGUAAUAGACCAAAACUAUUGCCCCGGCGAGAAGAAUUGCCCUGGCCAGGUACACGUCAAAUCUAUUGUCUAUACCGUUCUUUUCAUUUUGAAAGCUAACAUCCAAAACAUACAUAAAUCUUGCUGUAUUUUGCUGUACAUUAAACAGGUUUCUGGUGUGAAAAUAAGUGAUGUGACCUACCAAGACAUUCAUGGAUCAUCAGCAACAGAAGUGGCGGUCAAAUUUGAUUGUAGCAAAAAAUAUCCAUGCACUGGGAUCAAAUUAGAAGAUGUAAAGCUCACUUACAAGAAUCAGCCAGCUGAAGCAUCAUGCAGCAACGCUGGUGGAGUUGCUUCAGGACUUGUUCAGCCCACUAGCUGUCUAUAAGAGCCUAAUUAGCGAGGGAAUAUAUAGUUGAUCAAGCAAAAUAAAAAUAAAUUAUUACGUAACACAUAUAGUAUAUAUACAUAUACAAAUGGGAUAUUUUCUCUCUGUCUUAGCUUAAAAACAAUGUAAUACGUCCUUAGCUAAUGAAGCGAGUUUAUUUGCUUGAUCUUGUGGCACGUCUCAGCCCGACGACGAUUGCAAUUAUAGUACAAAGGAGGAAAUUAAUUUUCCAAACACCUAGUUCGGUUAAUGUUUUUUAUACAUUUGAGACUUAAUAUGAGUUAAUUGUUUUUGUUAAAUAAAUUGUUUGGCGUGAGCCAGCUACUUGAACCUAUCCAUCUGGUAAAAAUAUUUACGUGCUAGACAAUCAACAUGAACCAAUACAAUAAUUUAUAUCUAAUUGAUAUGAUUCUCCCACAUUAAAGUCCUAACUAGAAAGACCAAUAUUUCUAUUUAUCGAUAUCAUUUGAAGCAGCAACUCUAUCUGCGGAGAAGAAAUCAAACAACGAAAUUCCAUGGAAUGGGGUCUAGUACUUGUGUUUAAUUAUUAACACUAAGAAAAUUGCUUUCAAUGGGACCUUUUGGUGCGUAGAUUAUAACCGAUUGGCCUUUUUUUUUUCUCCAAUAUUGUAUUUUAGUGACUCUCUCCUUUUUUUUUUAAUUUCAAAGACUAAAAUAUAAAAUAAAUAAAGUUUAUAAUUAAAACUUGAAACCCUCGAAAUACAAGAAUUAACAAUGAAAAAGUAAGAACUUUAAGGAGCAAAUUAUAGUUUUUCAUGCUUCAUAAAUAGUAAAAAAAAGGCCAUUUUUUGUUUCAGCAUUAAAAUUGGACCCUAUUAUUUAAAUUUUCUCAAUUUCAACAUUAAAAAAUUACCCCCUAACUUAGAAAACCUAUUCAGAACCUGUAAUCCAGCUAUUUAAGAGACAGACCCAUAUUCUAAAAUGGAGGCCGUCCUUUUCAAUUGACAGGCUACUGGUCAGCACUUAGACCAUGAUUAACGCUACCAUCAGCACUUACAUCAUCAGCAAAUCAACAGUACUUCGAAUAAUAUCUGCCAUCUUGUGCUUGCAAUUGACUUUUCAACAAGAUCUAGCUAAUGCAUGUCUAUAUAAUGGUUUGCCUUUUGCAACCUUGUAGAUCAUCAGCAAUAUUUCAAAUUAAUCUAAGAACAUUAGCAUAAAGCAUGGCUAGUGAUCAUAGUGUCCGUGGUGAGGAGGUGAUCAGCAACAAACAAGUGAUCCUCAAGGACUACGUGAGUGGUUUUCCAAGAGAAUCAAACCUGUACCUGACGACAAGUAACAUCAAACUCAAAGUGCCAGAAGAAGAGAGUGGUAAAGAUGCUGUGCUGGUUAAGAAUCUCUACUUGUCUUGUGAUCCUUUCAUGCGUGGACGCAUGCAGAGAGAUCUGCCACCCGGUGAACCUGAACAAUCUUCCUACUCCCUUGGCUCUGUAUGUUCUCAAUCUCCCUCUUUAAUCCAUUGUUGAAUUGUUAUAAUUUAUAUUACAAUUAUUUAUGGUAAUUAUAUUGCUAGUUACUGUGAAUUUACUUACUCUUGUUGGAGACAUUGAGCAGCCAAUUGUUGGAUAUGGAGUGGCUAGAGUUGUUGAUUCCAGGCACUCUGACUUCAAGAAAGGUGAUUUGAUCUGGGGAAGGACAAUCGGCUGGGAAGAAUACAGUCUAAUAACAACACCUGAAUACCUCUUCAAAAUCAACCAUACUGAUGAUAUACCCCUUUCAUACUACACUGGAAUUCUUGGUAUGUAAGCUCUUGGCCCAUAUGAUUUUCUUAUGUGAACGUGUUUUGUUAUGACUGUAAUGAGCCAUAUUCUUGAAUUUGUGCUUUUGCUCUCACAGGAAUGCCUGGCAUCACUGCUUAUUUUUGCUUCUUUGACAUUGGUUCUCCCAAGGAAGGAGACCGUGUCUACGUUUCAUCAGCAUCAGGCGCAGUUGGUCAGCUUGUUGGGCAAUUUGCAAAGCUGAUAGGUUGUUAUGUUGUUGGAAGUGCUGGAAGUAAAGAAAAGGUUGAACUAUUGAAGACCAAGUUUGGAUUUGAUGAUGCUUUCAAUUAUAAAGAGGAGCAUGACUUGGAUGCAGCCUUGAAAAGGUUAGUGUAUGAAGGCGGCAUAAGAGACAAUCAGAAAUAGCACUCUCAAGCCUUACAGAACCUCUAGACGUUCUGCAGGUUAAUUAAUCUGUGAUUAUGUGCAUUACUUUUUUUGUUUUUGAAUGUUAAUCUUGUGGGGAUUGGCUCAAGUGGAAAAAGGAAUGAUUGUUUCCUUUGCCAGGUACUUCCCUGAAGGCAUCGACAUUU